CAGCCGCCACGGGAAUACGUAGGGUGCGAGCGUUAAUCGGAAUUACUGGGCGUAAAGCGUGCGCAGGCGGUUUUGUAAGACAGGCGUGAAAUCCCCGGGCUCAACCUGGGAAUGGCGCUUGUGACUGCAAAGCUAGAGUGCGGCAGAAGGGGAUGGAAUUCCGCGUGUAGCAGUGAAAUGCGUAGAUAUGCGGAGGAACACCGAUGGCGAAGGCAAUCCCCUGGGCCUGCACUGACGCUCAUGCACGAAAGCGUGGGGAGCAAACAGGAUUAGAUACCCCCGUAGUCCCUGUCUCUUAUAC
Molecule: ribosomal RNA, 301 nt
Filed under: uncultured bacterium
Lineage: Bacteria
Description: partial 16S ribosomal RNA
Rfam family: Bacterial small subunit ribosomal RNA
Source: RNAcentral